GAAAUGCGAUAAGUAGUGUGAAUUGCAGAAUUCAGUGAAUCAUCGAAUCUUUGAACGCACAUUGCGCUCCUUGGUAUUCCAUGGGGCAUGCCUGUUCGAGCGUCAUUUGUACCCUCAAGCUCUGCUUGGUGUUGGGUGUUUGUCCCCGUCUCCGCGCGUGGACUCGCCCCAAAGUGAUUGGCAGCCGGCGUACUGGUCCCGGAUCGCAGCACAUGUCGCGCAAACGAGUGCCUUGGUACGGCGGCGUCCAUAAGCCCCUCUCUCACGCUCUUGACCUCGGAUCAGGUAGGGAUACCCGCUGAACUUAAGC
RNAcentral lists this unclassified non-coding RNA (310 nucleotides) under plant metagenome. RNAcentral's name for it is "partial contains 5.8S ribosomal RNA, internal transcribed spacer 2, and large subunit ribosomal RNA". The stretch from base 1 to 105 matches the Rfam family "5.8S ribosomal RNA", at positions 50 to 154 of the family's 154-position model. The record is from RNAcentral.